This 301-nucleotide ribosomal RNA is filed under the name uncultured bacterium. Its description in RNAcentral is "partial 16S ribosomal RNA". It matches the Rfam family "Bacterial small subunit ribosomal RNA", at positions 509 to 807 of the family's 1533-position model. The record is from RNAcentral.
CAGUCGCCACGGUAAUACGUAGGGUGCAAGCGUUAAUCGGAAUUACUGGGCGUAAAGCGUGCGCAGGCGGUUUUGUAAGACAGAGGUGAAAUCCCCGGGCUCAACCUGGGAACUGCCUUUGUGACUGCAAGGCUAGAGUACGGCAGAGGGGGAUGGAAUUCCGCGUGUAGCAGUGAAAUGCGUAGAUAUGCGGAGGAACACCGAUGGCGAAGGCAAUCCCCUGGGCCUGUACUGACGCUCAUGCACGAAAGCGUGGGGAGCAAACAGGAUUAGAUACCCCGGUAGUCCCUGUCUCUUAUAC